RNAcentral lists this long non-coding RNA (263 nucleotides) under Homo sapiens (human). RNAcentral describes it as "non-protein coding lnc-ZC3HAV1-2:1". The record is from RNAcentral. Lineage: Eukaryota; Metazoa; Chordata; Mammalia; Primates; Hominidae.
CUGGAACUUGGCUCACUGAUAGCAAUGAAGAUGAUGGGCUCCUGAUGCACUGGACACCAGAAUGAUGGCACUUAAGGGCGGAAUGACAAAAUCAGAGUGGCAGCUAACAGGACCUGACUUUUAGGGAGUUGUAGGGAUUGUAAAUAGCACACAGUUUCUCUAGGAAGAACAUAGACGCGUGGGUAGUCAAAAAGUCCAAAUGGCCCUCAACAUAUGAUUUUUCUGCCUCACCAUGGUGUGCAUUCAGUAGAAACUGCACUUUG